RNAcentral lists this ribosomal RNA (1134 nucleotides) under human gut metagenome. RNAcentral's name for it is "bacterial LSU rRNA". It matches the Rfam family "Bacterial large subunit ribosomal RNA", at positions 1775 to 2905 of the family's 2925-position model. The record is from RNAcentral.
GGUUGCAAUAAAGAGGCCGGUGCGACUGUUUAACAAAAACACAGCUCUAUGCCAACUCGUAAGAGGAUGUAUAUGGAGUGACACGUGACCAAUGCCAAAAGGUCAAUGGGAGAGGUUAGCGCAAGCGAAGCUUCGAUCUGAAGCCCUGGUGAAUGUCGGCCGUAACUAUAACGGUCCUAAGGUAGCGAAAUUCCUUGUCGGGUAAGUUCCGACCUGCACGAAUCGUGUAACGAUGCCAGCACUGUCUCAACGUGGAUCUCGGCGAAGUUGUAAUUCCGGUGAAAAUGCCGGAUACCUGCGGAAGGACGGAAAGACCCCAUGAACCUUUACUGUAAUCUGAUAUUGGUAUUUGAUUGCUCUUGUGUAGCAUAGGUGGGAGGCAGUGAAACCGCUACGCCAGUACCGGUGGAGCCACAGGUGAAAUACCACCCUGGUGUAAUUAGAUAUCUAACGGUGUCCCGUGAAUCCGGGCCCCGGACCGUGUCAGAGGGUCAGUUUGACUGGGGCGGUUUCCUCCUAAAUUGUAACGGAGGAGCCCGAAGGUACACUCAGCACGGUUGGCAAUCGUGUGCAGAGCGUAAGGGUAGAAGUGUGCUUUACUGUAAGACCGACAGGUCGAGCAGUUGCGAAAGCAGGGCCUAGUGAUCCAGCGAUGGAAUGUGGAAUCGUCGUUGCUCAACGGAUAAAAGGUACUCUGGGGAUAACAGGCUGAUAGCGCCCAAGCGUCCAUAGCGACGGCGCUGUUUGGCACCUCGAUGUCGACUCAUCACAUCCUGGGGCUGUAGAAGGUCCCAAGGGUUCGGCUGUUCGCCGAUUAAAGUGGUACGCGAGUUGGGUUCAGAACGUCGUGAGACAGUUCGGUCCUUAUCCUCCGCAGGCGCAGGAUAUUUGAUGGGAUCAUUCCUUAGUACGAGAGGACCGGGAAUGACUGACCUCUGGUGUUCCGGUUGUGGCGUCAGCUGCAUUGCCGGGUAGCUAUGUCGGGAACGGAUAAGCGCUGAAAGCAUCUAAGCGCCAAGCCCACCCAAAGACGAGAUAUCCCUUCCCGCAAGGGACUGAAGGCCGGUCGAAGACUACGACCUUGAUAGGACGGAGAUGUAAGCGCAGUAAUGCGUUCAGUUUACCGUUACUAAU